Molecule: ribosomal RNA, 253 nt
Filed under: Faecalibacterium prausnitzii
Lineage: Bacteria; Bacillati; Bacillota; Clostridia; Eubacteriales; Oscillospiraceae
Description: partial 16S ribosomal RNA
Rfam family: Bacterial small subunit ribosomal RNA
Source: RNAcentral
AACGUAGGUCACAAGCGUUGUCCGGAAUUACUGGGUGUAAAGGGAGCGCAGGCGGGAGAACAAGUUGGAAGUGAAAUCCAUGGGCUCAACCCAUGAACUGCUUUCAAAACUGUUUUUCUUGAGUAGUGCAGAGGUAGACGGAAUUCCCGGUGUAGCGGUGGAAUGCGUAGAUAUCGGGAGGAACACCAGUGGCGAAGGCGGCCUACUGGGCACCAACUGACGCUGAGGCUCGAAAGUGUGGGUAGCAAACAGG